AUCUGAAUGACCAUAUUGGGGACCACAUGGUUUGGCUUCUAGGUACACAUAUGUGGGCAUUUCCUGUAGAAGCUGCUUUUCCUGAAUAAUGAGCUAUUUGAAACUGAAAUAUGCUUACCUCUUGUCAUCACUGAGAUGUUGACAUAAGGGUGUCUUUUAUUCCAAGUAUUCCAAGUAGUUACAUGGAAAUAAACCCUCCCUUUCUUUUGAGUAUUUGGCCUGAAAGUCCAGUUUAACAGCCCAUUCCUAGACACUGGGGAUAUAUAAGGUGAAAUGUCCAGCUGUUAAGUGAAUUGGUAUGGUAUGGUGGCUAGUUCCAAAUGAAAUGGCUAAGCUUCACCCCUUUGAACACUCAACUUCUCAGGGAGUGAAAAUGCUGGAACUAGGAUUUGCAGAUCCAGAGACUAAAACGUGACUUUAAAUCAGACUGACUGCAUCUGCCCAUUUUGAUGGUGAAGACCCCGUGGGAAAGACUUUUUGAUAAAUGAACAGGCAUUAGUCUUAUGACAUUUCUCCAACAUCCUGCAGUCAUCUUGAUGGCCACACCUCACUUUUCUUUACUGUCUGCUACUCCUUUGCUUCACUAAAAGCAGAAAAGGUGAAUAAUUUUCAUUCCAAGUGUUGCUGGGUUAGGGUCUCCCCGACCAAGCUGGUCUCGGCCAGUGGCGUCCAUUUUUGGGGGCUCAAAUCCAGGUCGAAGGGUCACUGGAGCGACGGUUGGAGAAUGUGGAACUAGCUGGAAGACACCCGAGUACUCUUAAAGCAAUCCCUGUGAUGGGCCUAGCAAUGGUAAAGCUUCUUAUUCUGGAUCAAAAAGCAAAGUUUUCCAGAUGCCCUAUACUUCAGCUCAAAAAUUGGAGCUUGUAGCUGUAAUUGAG
RNAcentral lists this long non-coding RNA (878 nucleotides) under Homo sapiens (human). Its description in RNAcentral is "HSALNT0092959". Lineage: Eukaryota; Metazoa; Chordata; Mammalia; Primates; Hominidae. The record is from RNAcentral.